RNAcentral lists this ribosomal RNA (253 nucleotides) under uncultured bacterium. RNAcentral's name for it is "partial 16S ribosomal RNA". It matches the Rfam family "Bacterial small subunit ribosomal RNA", at positions 524 to 776 of the family's 1533-position model. The record is from RNAcentral.
UACGUAGGGUGCGAGCGUUAAUCGGAAUUACUGGGCGUAAAGCGUGCGCAGGCGGUUUUGUAAGUCGGAUGUGAAAUCCCCGGGCUCAACCUGGGAACUGCGUUCGAAACUGCAAGGCUAGAGUAUGGUAGAGGGGGGUAGAAUUCCACGUGUAGCAGUGAAAUGCGUAGAGAUGUGGAGGAAUACCAAUGGCGAAGGCAGCCCCCUGGACUAAUACUGACGCUCAUGCACGAAAGCGUGGGGAGCAAACAGG